This 1707-nucleotide unclassified non-coding RNA is filed under the name Leishmania donovani. Its description in RNAcentral is "gene:LdHU3.28.2240(CDS-product:phosphonopyruvate_ decarboxylase-like_protein)". Lineage: Eukaryota; Euglenozoa; Kinetoplastea; Trypanosomatida; Trypanosomatidae. The record is from RNAcentral.
AGACGCCGUGCCUUCGACCGGUUGGAUUCUCCCGCGGGAGGACCGUCUAGUGAAGAGAGUCCGUCCCGCCUCUGGCGAACAUGACGAAGACGGUCGCGCGCCCGAAACCUCCCACCACAUUGCACGCCACCACAGAGCCCCUUGCGUUGGCUGCGCUACGUGCUUGCUUCUUUUCCUUUGCGUUCUGCAUCGUGCGUGCCCGUUCUUCUUUGGCCUUGCACUGCCUCAGCGUCUCCGUAUCACGCGGUGACCGGCGUGCAUGGGUGUCCCAAGUUUCCUGCUCGCUGUACCUCGAGAAGCUCCUCGUUGCCCCUCUCCGUUUCCUCCGCGACUUUAGCCUUCUCUUCGUUAUCCCCCACGCACUGUGCUCAGCGCGGGCUUUGCGACCCACGCAUCCUCAUCACCUUUCGUUUCCCUCUGUCCCCUUCCCAUGCUGCGCUGCUGCCGCCGCGCUCUGGAGGGCAACAAACAGCUCUCGCCCGAGUACCUGGUCCGGUCCCUCAAGGAACACGGCACCAGCGCCUUCUUUGGGAUGCCAGACUACUACUUGUGCCCCCUCACCUCGUACCUGGCCGAUAACACGGCAGCGGGCGAGUACGUGAUGGCGACCAACUGCGGCAACGCCGUGGCGAUGGCGGCCGGCUACUACCUGUCCACCCUGCGCGUCCCAUGUGUGUUCAUGCAGAACAGCGGGAUUGGGGACUCAAUGAACCCCUUGCUGACCCUUUUCAAUCAGGAUGCCUACCGCAUGCCAUGCUUGAUGCUCAUUAGCUGGCGCGGCAAGCUCGACACCGCGGACGAGCAGGCGAAGCCGGGGCUGGUUGCACAGGGUCGACUGACGGAACACUGCUUGGCCGCCGUCGGCAUCCCGUACGCGAUCAUGGGCAACAGCCUCGAUGUUGCAAUGAACUGGGACGUGACAAUGGACAAGGCGUACCACCACUUGGACUCCGAGAAGACACCGUUCGCGGUGCUGCUGGAGCCCGGAACAAUCGCGCCAUACAUGCAGCGACGCCCAGAGGCGGACGCGCUUCCCACGGCGCCACUUGACCAUGACGCAGUCGCCAAUCAAGUGUGUCGCCAGUUCAAUGCAACGGACGCGUUUGUGUGCAGCUGCGGGAGCGUGCAGGAGUCUCUGCGCCGUGCGCGGGCGAUGGUUUCCGGCGACACAGCCGUGCAGGAUCUUCUGCUGGCAGACUCGCCGGGCCAUGCGACAGGCGUGGCGACGGGUAUUGCCUUGUCGCGGCCGUCGCUACAGGUUGUCUGCAUCGAGGGCGACGGGGCGGCCCUUGUGCACCUCAACGCGAUGGCGACGAACGGUGGCCUCAAAGCGAUGAAGGACGUCACCACCGGUGCCGGACUGCUGCAGAACUUCAAGCAUAUUGUGGUUAACGACGGCUGCUACUCGAUGGAGGGCGGCCAGAUGACGGCGGCCUUUGAUGCCUCACUGACGGGCGUGGCCAAGGCCUGCGGGUACUUCGCCGUGCGCGAGGAACCCGUGAUUGAGCUUGGCGACCUUGUCGCUGCUUUGACUGAGCUGCGUCAGUGCGACGGCCCAGCCUUUGUGGAGGUGGUGGUGAGCAAGACGAGGACCUCGCCUGCUGACGGGAAGGUACGCCGAAAUCUGCAGGCGGAGAAGCUUCGCUUUUCCGAAUUCUUGAAUCGGCUCAAUGCGUAACCAUGCGUGCGUGUGUGCGUGUGUCUGUC